CCCUAUUGCAAAGGAACCUGUGCUCUAAGGUGUGAAGACGUACAUUGAUGCCCAUGAGAAGAUUUACUUGCCACCGCCUUCUGCGCAGCUUUUCCAUGUCGUGGCGUACCUUUCUUGUGUGACACAUUUGAUUCUUUCCCCCUAAUAAAUUACUAAGAGCCAGCAUUUACCUUUAUAUUCUUUUGUUAGUUAUCGAAACCUUCCAUAUACUAGCUUUUUACCCGUGCUUUGCUACGGAAUCAUUAAAUUUUUUUUUUUUACAACUGAAGACAACAUGAUACUCAGCUUAUGAACUAAUGCCAGCUCGAUGAUAGGUUUUGCUGAAUUUGAACUCCAACCCAAACUCAUGGACAUUGGAGAGGAAAUGCAGUAGUAAAGACUGUAAGGGAGGAUUAUGACUUGAAAUUUUAACUCAUGAGUUUGUACAAUCUACUUGUCAGGGGUGACAAGAGAAUGACUAGAAAGAAGUGAAUUGACGACCACCAACUCUAAACUUUAUAAGUAGAAAAGAUACACGCAAAUGAUUAAUUAUAAGUAUUGGAGGCAUGAGCAAAGUAUGUUAAACGGUAAAACGAAGUACUAAAGUUUUUGAAAUGUAUAGAGUACAUAACACAAUGCGAACACUAGUUGUGUUGUGUCAACGGUACUUGCACUGAUUAGAAAAAACCAAUUACUGACAGCCUGCCAAACACCUUCUAUGACAGGUAAGCCGUCAUAGGACGUUUUCCCACCAAUGGUGACUAGUAUCCAUUGACAAGUGGUUAGCUGUGCCUGCUCGUCAGCGGAGGUGCUCACAACUUAGCGCUUAGUCUACGGGUAAUUAUGUACGGACAGCUGGAACGAGUUCCCAGGGAGGGAGGUGUUCACUCACCAUAGAUUGUGGAGUAGUCUACGGCUUAGGCUGGUCAUAGUGGGAGUAACAAAGGUGGUAACUAAAGUGCCAACUAAGCAAUUUUGAUGAUGUGUCAUGUUAUUAAUGAGGAAAAAAAUGUUUAUGGUAACUAGAUAUGUUACUAUAACAUCACACAAACAAAUCAAGAUGAGUCUACAACCUAAUAAAUAACACAAUGCAUGACACCACAUAU
This 1085-nucleotide long non-coding RNA is filed under the name Brachypodium distachyon (stiff brome). Its description in RNAcentral is "long non-coding RNA (BDIS_LNC002805)". Lineage: Eukaryota; Viridiplantae; Streptophyta; Magnoliopsida; Poales; Poaceae. The record is from RNAcentral.